GAGUUUGAUCGUGGCUCAGAAUCAACGCUGGCGGCGUGCCUAACACAUGCAAGUCGAACGCGAAAGUCCCGCAAGGGGCAAGUAGAGUGGCAAACGGGUGAGUAACGCGUGGGUGACCUGCCUUCGAGCGGGGGAUAACGUCCCGAAAGGGACGCUAAUACCGCAUAACAUCCUGCCUUUGAAGAGGUGGAGAUCAAAGCUGGGGAUUCGCAAGAACCCGGCACUUGAAGAGGGGCCCGCGUCUGAUUAGCUAGUUGGUGAGGUAACGGCUCACCAAGGCUUCGAUCAGUAGCCGGCCUGAGAGGGCGGACGGCCACACUGGGACUGAGACACGGCCCAGACUCCUACGGGAGGCAGCAGUGGGGAAUUGUUCGCAAUGGGCGCAAGCCUGACGACGCAACGCCGCGUGGAGGAUGAAGACUUUCGGGUCGGUAAACUACCUGUCGAACGGGACGAAAGUACGUGCGGGUUAAGUACUACCGCAGUCGUGACGGUACCGUU
RNAcentral lists this ribosomal RNA (501 nucleotides) under uncultured bacterium. RNAcentral's name for it is "bacterial SSU rRNA". It matches the Rfam family "Bacterial small subunit ribosomal RNA", at positions 9 to 482 of the family's 1533-position model. The record is from RNAcentral.